GAUGAACGCUGGCGGCGUGCCUAAUACAUGCAAGUCGAGCGAACGGACGAGAAGCUUGCUUCUCUGAUGUUAGCGGCGGACGGGUGAGUAACACGUGGAUAACCUACCUAUAAGACUGGGAUAACUUCGGGAAACCGGAGCUAAUACCGGAUAAUAUUUUGAACCGCAUGGUUCAAAAGUGAAAGACGGUCUUGCUGUCACUUAUAGAUGGAUCCGCGCUGCAUUAGCUAGUUGGUAAGGUAACGGCUUACCAAGGCAACGAUGCAUAGCCGACCUGAGAGGGUGAUCGGCCACACUGGAACUGAGUCACGGUCCAGACUCCUACGGGAGGCAGCAGUAGGGAAUCUUCCACAAUGGGCGAAAGCCUGACGGAGCAACGCCGCGUGAGUGAUGAAGGUCUUCGGAUCGUAAAACUCUGUUAUUAGGGAAGAACAUAUGUGUAAGUAACUGUGCACAUCUUGACGGUACCUAAUCAGAAAGCCACGGCUAACUACGUG
RNAcentral lists this ribosomal RNA (497 nucleotides) under uncultured bacterium. RNAcentral's name for it is "partial 16S ribosomal RNA". It matches the Rfam family "Bacterial small subunit ribosomal RNA", at positions 28 to 507 of the family's 1533-position model. The record is from RNAcentral.